This 466-nucleotide ribosomal RNA is filed under the name uncultured bacterium. RNAcentral describes it as "partial 16S ribosomal RNA". It matches the Rfam family "Bacterial small subunit ribosomal RNA", at positions 28 to 507 of the family's 1533-position model. The record is from RNAcentral.
GACGAACGCUGGCGGCGCGCCUAACACAUGCAAGUCGAACGAGCGAGAGAGAGCUUGCUUUCUCGAGCGAGUGGCGAACGGAUGAGUAACGCGUGAGGAACCUGCCUCAAAGAGGGGGACAACAGUUGGAAACGACUGCUAAUACCGCAUAAGCCCACGGCUCGGCAUCGAGCAGGGGGAAAAGGAGCAAUCCGCUUUGAGAUGGCCUCGCGUCCGAUUAGCUAGUUGGUGGGGUAACGGCCCACCAAGGCGACGAUCGGUAGCCGGACUGAGAGGUUGAACGGCCACAUUGGGACUGAGACACGGCCCAGACUCCUACGGGAGGCAGCAGUGGGGAAUAUUGCACAAUGGGGGAAACCCUGAUGCAGCGACGCCGCGUGGAGGAAGAAGGUCUUCGGAUUGUAAACUCCUGUUGUUGGGGAAGAUAAUGACGGUACCCAACAAGGAAGUGACGGCUAACUACGUG